This 253-nucleotide ribosomal RNA is filed under the name uncultured bacterium. Its description in RNAcentral is "partial 16S ribosomal RNA". It matches the Rfam family "Bacterial small subunit ribosomal RNA", at positions 524 to 776 of the family's 1533-position model. The record is from RNAcentral.
UACGUAGGUGGCAAGCGUUGUUCGGAAUUACUGGGCGUAAAGCGCGCGUAGGCGGCUCUUCAAGUCAGACGUGAAAGCCCCGGGCUUAACUCGGGAACUGCGUUUGAUACUGUCGAGCUAGAGUGUGGAAGGGGCGAUUGGAAUUCCGUGUGUAGCGGUGAAAUGCGUAGAUAUCAUUUGGAACGCCAAUGGUGAAAACAGGUAGCUGGGGCUGUGCUGACACUGAGACACGAAAGCCAGGGGAGCAAACGGG